This 383-nucleotide ribosomal RNA is filed under the name uncultured eukaryote. Its description in RNAcentral is "SSU rRNA". It matches the Rfam family "Eukaryotic small subunit ribosomal RNA", at positions 587 to 972 of the family's 1831-position model. The record is from RNAcentral.
AGCUCCAAUAGCGUAUAUUAAAGUUGUUGCAGUUAAAAAGCUCGUAGUUGGAUUUCUGGGUGGAGCGGGAUGUCCGGCACUUGUUGUCGGUUCGUUCCCGUCUCCGCCCCUUUUUGGGUGAAACCUGUGUGCCAUUAGUUUGGUGUGCAGGGGCUGCCCAUCGUUUACUGUGAAAAAAUUAGAGUGUUCAAAGCAGGCUUAUGCCGUUGAAUAUAUUAGCAUGGAAUAAUAGGAUAGGACCUUGGUACUAUUUUGUUGGUUUGCGCACCGAGGUAAUGAUUAAGAGGGACAGUUGGGGGUAUUCGUAUUCAAUUGUCAGAGGUGAAAUUCUUGGAUUUCUGGAAGACGAACUACUGCGAAAGCAUUUACCAAGGAUGUUUUCA